UACUUCUAGGGUAGCGGUAAAAUGUGUUAAUCCUUGAAGGACAACCGGUAGCGAAGGCGCCUGACUAGAACGCGCUCGACGGUGAGGGACGAAGGCCAGGGGAGCAACCCGGAUUAGAUACCCGGUUAGUCCUGGCAGUAAAUGAUGCAAACUAGGUGUCAUUCAACCCAUGUGGUUGUGUGGUGCCGAAGGGAAACCGUUAAGUUUGCCGCCUGGGGAGUAUGGUCGCAAGACUGAAACUUAAAGGAAU
RNAcentral lists this ribosomal RNA (250 nucleotides) under uncultured archaeon. Its description in RNAcentral is "partial 16S ribosomal RNA". It matches the Rfam family "Archaeal small subunit ribosomal RNA", at positions 616 to 865 of the family's 1478-position model. The record is from RNAcentral.